RNAcentral lists this ribosomal RNA (488 nucleotides) under uncultured bacterium. Its description in RNAcentral is "partial 16S ribosomal RNA". It matches the Rfam family "Bacterial small subunit ribosomal RNA", at positions 28 to 508 of the family's 1533-position model. The record is from RNAcentral.
GAUGAACGCUAGCGAUAGGCUUAACACAUGCAAGUCGAGGGGCAGCACAAGGUAGCUUGCUAUCUGGGUGGCGACCGGCGCACGGGUGCGUAACGCGUAUGCAACUUGCCCUAUACAGGAGGAUAACCCGUCGAAAGACGGACUAAUACUGCGUAUGCUCACAACUUGGCAUCAAGUGGUGAGGAAAGAAAUUCGGUAUAGGAUAGGCAUGCGUCCCAUUAGCUUGUUGGUGAGGUAACGGCUCACCAAGGCAACGAUGGGUAGGGGAACUGAGAGGUUUAUCCCCCACACUGGUACUGAGACACGGACCAGACUACUACGGGAGGCAGCAGUGAGGAAUAUUGGUCAAUGGGCGCGAGCCUGAACCAGCCAAGUCGCGUGAAGGAUGACUGUCUUAUGGAUUGUAAACUUCUUUUAUACGGGAAUAACAAGAGUCACGUGUGACUCCCUGCAUGUACCGUAUGAAUAAGCAUCGGCUAACUCCGUGC